AGCGGCAGGCUUAACACAUGCAAGUCGAGGGGCAGCACGGGUAGCAAUACCUGGUGGCGGACCGGCGCAAGGGUGCGUAACGCGUGAGCAACAUGCCCUAUACAGGGGGAUAAUCCAGGGAAACUUGGUCUAAUAUCCCAUAGUAUUUAGAGGAGGCAUCUUCUAUAAAUUAAAGCUUCGGUGGUAUAGGAUUGGCUCGCGUGACAUUAGCUAGAUGGUGAGGUAACGGCUCACCAUGGCAAUGAUGUCUAGGGGUUCUGAGAGGAAGGCCCCCCACACUGGGACUGAGACACGGCCCAGACUCCUACGGGAGGCAGCAGUGAGGAAUAUUGGACAAUGGAUGGAAAUCUGAUCCAGCCAUGCCGCGUGCAGGAAGACAGCCCUAUGGGUUGUAAACUGCUUUUAUAUGGGAGCAAUAAGGUCUACGUGUAGACUGAUGAGAGUACCAUAUGAAUAAGCAUCGGCUAACUCCGUG
RNAcentral lists this ribosomal RNA (475 nucleotides) under uncultured bacterium. RNAcentral describes it as "bacterial SSU rRNA". It matches the Rfam family "Bacterial small subunit ribosomal RNA", at positions 39 to 507 of the family's 1533-position model. The record is from RNAcentral.